CGGGAGGUGAGGGGUUAGGUGGAGAGGCAAGUUGGCCGGCUGUGAUGUGUAUCGCGGAGCACCGGACAGAGAAGCCAGGGUCCCCUAGGAACCCGGAGGGGAGUGGCUUGUCAGGGAUUUUUAGACAGGGAACGGAAGCCGUGAAGGCAGGUGUGAUGGAAGCAAAAAGAACACAGCUCGGAUGAGCACAGGACCCGCCGCGCCGGAGAAGACGCAGGGAGGGAAGAGGCAGCUGAAGCGGGGAAGAAAAGAGAUGGGGAGAAGGACGCGGGUCGCGGGGGCCGCGGUCGGCUUCACUCACAGUCCAGCUGAAUGAAGAUUUCAGAGAAUCUAGAGGAAGUCAAAACUGCAAAAUAGAAGAAGCAUGGGGCCCCAAAUUAGUCCUUGAAGGAAUCCUGCCCCAGAGAACUGCAUGACCAGUUAAAAUAUUCAGUUGUGGGGACUUCCCUGGUGGUGCAGUGGUUACGAAUCCGCCUGCCAGUGCAGAGGACUCAGGUUUGAUCCCUGGUCCGGGAAGAUCCCACAUGCCGUGGAGCAACUAAGCCCAUGCGCCACAACUACUGAGCCUGCACUCUAGAGCCCACGAGCCACAACUACUGAGCCUGCGUGCCACAACUACUGAAGCCUGUGCACCUAGAGCCCGUGCUCCGCAGCAAGAGAAGCCACCGCAAUGAGUAGCCCACGUACCACAAUGAACAGUAGUCCUCGCUGGCUGCAACUAGAGAAAGCCGGCGUGCAGCAAAGAAGAACCAACGCAGUCAAAAAUAAAAAUAAUUAAUUAAUUAAUUUUUUUUAAAAGUAAAAGCAAGGAUUAAAAAAAUAUUCAACUGUGUAAUUUAAUUAUGAGCAUAAUGAAGCUUCACACAUUACAAAAUCAAU
Molecule: long non-coding RNA, 879 nt
Organism: Balaenoptera ricei (Rice's whale)
Lineage: Eukaryota; Metazoa; Chordata; Mammalia; Artiodactyla; Balaenopteridae
Exons: 3
Source: RefSeq, a predicted model, not a curated record